Molecule: ribosomal RNA, 460 nt
Filed under: uncultured bacterium
Lineage: Bacteria
Description: partial 16S ribosomal RNA
Rfam family: Bacterial small subunit ribosomal RNA
Source: RNAcentral
CCUACGGGUGGCAGCAGUGAGGAAUAUUGGUCAAUGGGCGCGAGCCUGACCCAGCCAAGUAGCGUGAAGGAUGACUGCCCUACGGGUUGUAAACUUCUUUUAUAAAGGAAUAAAGUGCGGCACGUGUGCCUUUUUGUAUGUACUUUAUGAAUAAGGAUCGGCUAACUCCGUGCCAGCAGCCGCGGUAAUACGGAGGAUCCGAGCGUUAUCCGGAUUUAUUGGGUGUAAAGGGAGCGUAGAUGGGUUGUUAAGUCAGUUGUGAAAGUGUGCGGCUCAACCGUAAAAUUGCAAUUGAUACUGGCAGUCUUGAGUACAGUUGAGGUAGGCGGAAUUCGUGGUGUAGCGGUGAAAUGCGUAGAUAUCACGAAGAACAUCGAUGGCGAAAGCAGCUUACUAAACUGCCACUGACAUUGAUGCUCGAAAGUGUGGGUAUCAAACAGGAUUAGAUACCCGAGUAGUC